Molecule: long non-coding RNA, 230 nt
Organism: Ostrinia furnacalis (Asian corn borer)
Lineage: Eukaryota; Metazoa; Arthropoda; Insecta; Lepidoptera; Crambidae
Exons: 3
Source: RefSeq, a predicted model, not a curated record
GAUGACUCCCGGCUGUGCUGCUGCAAAUGCUAGCUAUUGCAAUACCGUUUCUAAUACCCAGUUUCUUUGGCCGAGCCUUAGCGAGGGCGCCACUAACACACUGGGAUUCUCAUAUUAUCACUUCAAUUUAUCAACGCUUGCCAAGACUCUGGACUUCUCGACGACAUUAGCGGCACCAGGUUUGGGGCCUAUUUUGCCUCCAAAUGUCGCCCAUAUUAUUAUUAGAUGUA